UUCGCCCUUAGAGUUUGAUCCUGGCUCAGGACGAACGCUGGCGGCGUGCUUAACACAUGCAAGUCGAGCGGGGACAGUGGAAGUGCUUGCACAGAAUCUGUUCUAGCGGCGGACGGGUGAGUAACGCGUGAGCAAUCUGUCCUACACAGGGGGAUAACAACUGGAAACAGUUGCUAAUACCGCAUAAGACCACGGGGUCGCAUGGCUCUGAGGUAAAAGAUUUAUCGGUGUAGGGUGAGCUCGCGUCUGAUUAGCUGGUUGGUGAGGUAACGGCCCACCAAGGCGACGAUCAGUAGCCGACCUGAGAGGGUGAUCGGCCACAUUGGAACUGAGACACGGUCCAGACUCCUACGGGAGGCAGCAGUGGGGAAUAUUGGGCAAUGGGCGCAAGCCUGACCCAGCAACGCCGCGUGAAGGAAGAAGGUUUUCGGAUUGUAAACUUCUGUCCUUGGUGACGAACACAAUGACGGUAGCCAAGGAGGAAGCCCCGGCUAACUACGUGCCAGCAGCCGCGGUAAUACGUAGGGGGCAAGCGUUGUCCGGAAUGACUGGGCGUAAAGGGCGUGUAGGCGGCUUUUUAAGUGUGAAGUGAAAGUCCUGCUUUCAAGGUGGGAACUGCUUUGCAAACUGGAGAGCUUGAGCGCGGAAGAGGUAAGUGGAAUUCCCAGUGUAGCGGUGAAAUGCGUAGAGAUUGGGAGGAACACCAGUGGCGAAGGCGACUUACUGGGCCGUAACUGACGCUGAGGCGCGAAAGCGUGGGGAGCGAACAGGAUUAGAUACCCUGGUAGUCCACGCUGUAAACGAUGAAUGCUAGGUGUAGCGGGUAUCGACCCCUGCUGUGCCGCAGUAAACACAAUAAGCAUUCCGCCUGGGGAGUACGGCCGCAAGGUUGAAACUCAAAGGAAUUGACGGGGGCCCGCACAAGCAGCGGAGCAUGUUGUUUAAUUCGAAGCAACGCGAAGAACCUUACCAGGUCUUGACAUCGAGGAAAACCUUCAGAGAUGAAGGGUGAGCUUGCUCGUCCGAAGACAGGUGGUGCAUGGUUGUCGUCAGCUCGUGUCGUGAGAUGUUGGGUUAAGUCCCGCAACGAGCGCAACCCCUAUCCCCAGUAGCCAGCAGUUCGGCUGGGCACUCUGAGGAGACUGCCAGGGAUAACCUGGAGGAAGGCGGGGAUGACGUCAAAUCAUCAUGCCCCUUAUGAUUUGGGCUACACACGUGCUACAAUGGCGUAAACAAAGGGAAGCGAGCCUGCGAAGGUAAGCAAAUCCCAAAAAUAACGUCCCAGUUCGGACUGCAGUCUGCAACUCGACUGCACGAAGCUGGAAUCGCUAGUAAUCGCGGAUCAGAAUGCCGCGGUGAAUACGUUCCCGGGUCUUGCACACACCGCCCGUCA
This 1393-nucleotide ribosomal RNA is filed under the name uncultured bacterium. Its description in RNAcentral is "16S ribosomal RNA". It matches the Rfam family "Bacterial small subunit ribosomal RNA". The record is from RNAcentral.